RNAcentral lists this ribosomal RNA (451 nucleotides) under uncultured bacterium. RNAcentral describes it as "partial 16S ribosomal RNA". It matches the Rfam family "Bacterial small subunit ribosomal RNA", at positions 29 to 523 of the family's 1533-position model. The record is from RNAcentral.
AGCGAACGCUGGCGGCAGGCUUAACACAUGCAAGUCGAGCGGGCGUAGCAAUACGUCAGCGGCAGACGGGUGAGUAACGCGUGGGAACGUACCUUUUGGUUCGGAACAACACAGGGAAACUUGUGCUAAUACCGGAUAAGCCCUUACGGGGAAAGAUUUAUCGCCGAAAGAUCGGCCCGCGUCUGAUUAGCUAGCUGGUGAGGUAACGGCCCACCAAGGCGACGAUCAGUAGCUGGUCUGAGAGGAUGAUCAGCCACAUUGGGACUGAGACACGGCCCAAACUCCUACGGGAGGCAGCAGUGGGGAAUAUUGGACAAUGGGGGCAACCCUGAUCCAGCCAUGCCGCGUGAGUGAUGAAGGCCCUAGGGUUGUAAAGCUCUUUUGUGCGGGAAGAUAAUGACGGUACCGCAAGAAUAAGCCCCGGCUAACUUCGUGCCAGCAGCCGCCGUAA